Molecule: non-coding RNA, 1291 nt
Filed under: Mycosarcoma maydis (corn smut)
Lineage: Eukaryota; Fungi; Basidiomycota; Ustilaginomycetes; Ustilaginales
Source: RNAcentral
CGCCGAUGACAGACUAUCGGAUGCAGCAUUGCCUCUACCGCAUCUAAUAGCUCAUAGUGCUGUUUGACAGUACGCCAUGCAAUGCAUCGUGUGCGCGAAGCAUUCAAGUAUUUACAGAAAAGCAUCCAGACCCAGCUGCUCUGACCCCGCAGCAACACAUGCACACACACGCAAACCAGCGCAGCGUUCAACCCGUUUUCGAUCUUGCGCCCGCCUCGGGUGGCUCGCACUCUGACGCGCUGCUCGCAUUUCACACCGCGCCUUACUGUCUGAACGCGAACGUUGCGCCUUGACUAGGCGUCAAGCUGUGUCGGCGUGAGCGAGAGCUUGUGAUGAAGCGGAUCCGUUCAGAGGGUGACUUGGGCGCGUGAUGGUGAAACGUAGGCGUGCGCGGUGGGUGGAACGCCGCAGGUAGCCUGUAAAACGGCUUUAAAGCGGUACAGGACGAUCGUAACCCUAAGUUGUUUUAUGCAGAGAGGAAGCAAGUGGAACGUGGGAUGUCGUGACUGGGAAGACGAGUGCUGUUCGCGACUGGUUCGUGACGAGCGCAUCGUUGGAGGCGUGUCAGGCGAAACCAGGUUGCACUUGGUUGAUUGCGUCGUAAGUCAAGCAAGCCUCUUCUGCUGAAAGCGGACGAGCAGGAGCCGAGUUUCUGGCUUGGGGAUCUGCUCGCGUGCUUGUUUGGUGUUGCGUACGCGCUCUCUGCCAUACGUGGAUAUGGCGGUUGCGAUCGUGUCCUGACACGAUCGUACGUGCUAGAUGGUUGUUACCAAAAGCCACGAUGUCUACAUCGCGAUAGCAGUUUGUUCGGUUCUUCUUGACUGCUGGUACUUGAACGAAGAACGAACGCCCGUUGGUUUUGGGCUGGUGUGUAUUGCUGCGCGCAAGGUCGCGGUUCGCGGUUCGGGUCGCGGGUCGUUUUCCACAUGCACUGGAACGGUAGAGGUAUGCUAUCCGUACAUUCUCGAGGCCAAGCAGCGGCCAAGCAGAGCCCAAGCUUCGGGGUGUUGCCUGCAGAGAUACGGACACGUUCAAAGCGCAUGUCGGCCACAGCUCUGCGGAGUCAAGGUAAGCGGCGUUGGUCCAAGUUUGUUGAGCGCGCCGCUCUUACCCGUGGUCUAGAGCUUCUUGCUCGAUCGUCAUCGCGCUUUGUCCAUCCCUUCUCUGCGUCAGCACACAUCCCGUUCUGUCUUGCAACCCAUGUGCGUCGCAUGUGCACAUGUAGCACACGUGUACCCAAGCUUCGCCCCCGACCAUCGAUCGGAUCAGCAUGACAAUUUUUCUCCAUCUC